AAUUUCCUCUCAAAAAGGUACAAGCUGAAUGAGUCCACCCUAUUUCAUAUACAAGAAGGCUGGAAGGGCAGCAGCCAGGAGCCUGCCUACAUGCCUGGCAGCACCUUUUAGUGACCACAGCUGCAGACCAGGACUUCCUGCAGGGCUGGGAAUGGCAGAGGCAGAAAAAGGAGUUUGGCAGCUGGCUUGCUCCAUCCUUCCCCUGGAGACCAGGAAAUGCAGAAUGUCUUUCCCAGGCUAAGCAGAAGCAGAUAUACUGUAGCAGUGCAAGGAGAUAGAUUUAUAUAAUUUCAAAGAACAAAACACGAAGAAAGAACCUUUGAAAUAAA
RNAcentral lists this long non-coding RNA (329 nucleotides) under Cyanistes caeruleus (blue tit). Its description in RNAcentral is "lncRNA (ENSCCEG00000015443.1)". The record is from RNAcentral. Lineage: Eukaryota; Metazoa; Chordata; Aves; Passeriformes; Paridae.